UACGUAGGGUGCGAGCGUUGUCCGGAAUUACUGGGCGUAAAGAGCUCGUAGGUGGUUUGUCGCGUUGUUCGUGAAAACUCACAGCUUAACUGUGGGCGUGCGGGCGAUACGGGCAGACUGGAGUACUGCAGGGGAGACUGGAAUUCCUGGUGUAGCGGUGGAAUGCGCAGAUAUCAGGAGGAACACCGAUGGCGAAGGCAGAUCUCUGGGCCGUAACUGACGCUGAGGAGCGAAAGCGUGGGAGCGAACAGG
Molecule: ribosomal RNA, 252 nt
Filed under: uncultured bacterium
Lineage: Bacteria
Description: partial 16S ribosomal RNA
Rfam family: Bacterial small subunit ribosomal RNA
Source: RNAcentral